GACGAACGCUGGCGGCGUGCUUAACACACGCAAGUCGAACGGUAAGGCCCUUCGGGGUACACGAGUGGCGAACGGGUGAGUAACACGUGGGUGAUCUGCCCUGCACUUCGGGAUAAGCCUGGGAAACUGGGUCUAAUACCGGAUAGGACCCUGGGAUGCAUGUCCUGGGGUGGAAAGCUUUUGCGGUGUGGGAAGGGCCCGCGGCCUAUCAGCUUGUUGGUGGGGGGAUGGCCUACCCAGGCGACGGCGGGUAGCCGGCCUGAGAGGGUGACCGGACACACUGGGACUGAGAUACGGCCCAGACUCCUACGGGAGGCAGCAGUGGGGAAUAUUGCACAAUGGUCGCAAGCCUGAUGCAGCGACGCCGCGUGAGGGAUGACGGCCUUCGGGUUGUAAACCUCUUUCAGCACCGACGAAGCGCAAGUGACGGUAGGUGCAGAAGAAGGACCGGCCAACUACGUGCCAGCAGCCGCGGUAA
RNAcentral lists this ribosomal RNA (478 nucleotides) under uncultured bacterium. RNAcentral describes it as "partial 16S ribosomal RNA". It matches the Rfam family "Bacterial small subunit ribosomal RNA", at positions 28 to 523 of the family's 1533-position model. The record is from RNAcentral.